RNAcentral lists this ribosomal RNA (112 nucleotides) under Phascolarctos cinereus (koala). The record is from RNAcentral. Lineage: Eukaryota; Metazoa; Chordata; Mammalia; Diprotodontia; Phascolarctidae.
UGGCUAUACCACCCUGCAUGUGUCCUAUCUUAUUUGAUCUCAGAAGCUAAGUGGGGUCAGAACUGAUUAAUAUUGUUGGAUGGGAAACAGCCUGGGAAUAAUGUCAGUGCCA